CUACGGGACGCUGCAGUGAGGAAUAUUGCACAAUGGGGGGAACCCUGAUGCAGCAACGCCGCGUGGAGGAUGACGCAUUUCGGUGUGUAAACUCCUUUUAUAUGUCAAGAAAAUGACGGUAGCAUAUGAAUAAGCACCCGCUAACUCCGUGCCAGCAGCCGCGGUAAUACGGAGGGUGCAAGCGUUACUCAGAAUCACUGGGCGUAAAGGACGCGUAGGCGGGUUGGAAAGUCAGGUGUGAAAUCCUACAGCUUAACUGUAGAACUGCACUUGAAACUUCUAAUCUAGAGUAUGGGAGGGGGAGAUGGAAUUAGUGGUGUAGGGGUAAAAUCCGUAGAUAUCACUAGGAAUACCUAAAGCGAAGGCGAUCUCCUGGAACAUUACUGACGCUAAGGCGUGAAAGCGUGGGGAGCAAACAGGAUUAGAUACCCGCGUAGUC
This 439-nucleotide ribosomal RNA is filed under the name uncultured bacterium. RNAcentral's name for it is "partial 16S ribosomal RNA". It matches the Rfam family "Bacterial small subunit ribosomal RNA", at positions 339 to 795 of the family's 1533-position model. The record is from RNAcentral.